This 253-nucleotide ribosomal RNA is filed under the name uncultured bacterium. RNAcentral describes it as "partial 16S ribosomal RNA". It matches the Rfam family "Bacterial small subunit ribosomal RNA", at positions 524 to 776 of the family's 1533-position model. The record is from RNAcentral.
UACGAAGGGGGCUAGCGUUGUUCGGAUUUACUGGGCGUAAAGCGCACGUAGGCGGAUCGUUAAGUCGGGGGUGAAAUCCUGGAGCUCAACUCCAGAACUGCCUUCGAUACUGGCGAUCUUGAGUCCGGAAGAGGUGAGUGGAACUCCUAGUGUAGAGGUGGAAUUCGUAGAUAUUAGGAAGAACACCAGUGGCGAAGGCGGCUCACUGGUCCGGUACUGACGCUCAUGCACGAAAGCGUGGGGAGCAAACAGG